This 435-nucleotide ribosomal RNA is filed under the name Altica ampelophaga. Its description in RNAcentral is "partial 16S large subunit ribosomal RNA". The record is from RNAcentral. Lineage: Eukaryota; Metazoa; Arthropoda; Insecta; Coleoptera; Chrysomelidae.
GGCCUAUUGAAAGUUAAUUUUAGGUCUUACCUGCCCACUGAGAAUUUAAAUGGCCGCAGUAUUUUGACUGUGCUAAGGUAGCAUAAUCAUUAGUUUUUUAAUUGGAAGCUAGUAUGAAGGGUUUGAUGAAAAAAAAACUGUCUUUUAAUAAUUAAAUUAAAAUUUUAUUAUUAAGUUAAAAAGCUUAAAUCUUUUUAAAAGACGAGAAGACCCUAUAGAGUUUUAUUUUUUUAUUUUAUAUAAUAUUUAGAAUUUAAAAUUAUAUAUUUUAUAAGAAAUUUAAUUGGGGUGAUUGAAAAACUUAAUAAACUUUUUUUAUUUUUAUUUAUAAAUUUAUAUAUUUUUGAUCCAUAAUAAAUGAUUAUAAGAUGAAAUUACCUUAGGGAUAACAGCGUAAUUUUAUUGGAGAGUUCAAAUUGAUAAUAAAGAUUGCGA